AGGGGGUUUUAAAAUUAAAUGAAAUAUGGAGCCUGUCUGAGUCAACAUAUAAUUGCAUAAUGCAGUCUCUGAUGGCAGCUCUCACAGGGUCCUCUGGGAACAUCCAUGUCUGUUCAUCCUGCAAUAUAUUAUUGGGUGUCUGCUGCAGGCUGGGCCAGGGAUGUGGAGAUGAGAGAGACACAUGAUCCACCUACAAGGACCUCACUUUCUAGUGCAGGGGACAAUCUGUAAAUGUAAUUCAGUGCAGUGAGGUCUAAGAAAGAGACAAGAGGUAACAGAACUGUUUGGAAGAAGGCACUGUUGAAAGGCCUUGCCUAAAAUCUGUUUGUUUGUUUGUUUGUUAUUUGGAGAUGGAGUUUUCGCUCUUGUUGUCCAGGCUGGAGUGCAAUGGCACGAUCUUGGCUCACUACCACCUCUGCCUAUUGGAUUCAAGCCAUUCUCCUGCCUCAGCCUCCUGAGUAGCUGGGAUUACAGGCACCAGCCGUCGCGCCUGGCCAAUCUGUUUCGCUUUAAGCAAAGGAAGUAGACCUCUUUCUAUUUUAUAGGAAAAUCAUUUAUGGAAGUCUAUGUAAGUAUUUUAGCUAAAAUAUUCUCUUUCACUUAAUCUGAACCCUGAGAUGAUACAUUCUCAUUGUGGAAGAAGCCUCAGUGUCCCAGCAUUCAAUAAAGAUCACCCAGCUUCCCAUAGUGGAAGUCAGAAGCCACCAUGUAGAGGUCAGUCUAGCUUAGAUGCAAGCCACGUUGUUAUUUAUUUCCUGCUAUGGAUUCUCAUGGUGUCUUGUGACAGAAAUAUUUGGGGCACUUAAGUAUCCCCGAGUUUUCUUUUGAAAUAAGGUCAACCACUGUCUGCCCUUGGUAUGUUUGGUUGUUUUAAAUAAGGCUCUGUCUCAAUAGCACCACCUCUAGGCCCAGCCAGGGCAAUUAGAUAAAAGCCUCUGGGGCCUUGGAAUGCAUUUCCAAACAGGAUUGGAAUGUGGGUGAGAUCUGAUAGCUCCUCACAGCCUCCUGAUACCAGAAGAUGUUCUGUCCCAGCAACAUAGGCUGACUCCAGGAUGAGAGGACAGCAGGCUCAAUGAAGAUGCCCGUCUUCCUCCCCUCCUCUGUCUACCUUAUAAAGAGGUUGACAAGUGAGCACUGACAGUGGCAGCAAACCACCCACAUCGUGUAGUUCUGCCCAUUGCACAUUUUCAUGAGGAGUCUGUGAAGGCUGCAGCUCCCAGGCCUCCCCACUUGCAUGCAGUGUCCAGAACUGUUCAUUGCUGCUCAGUGUAGCAGCUAAGAACUUGAGCUCUGGAUUUUGACUGAUCUGGCUUUGAAAUCCAGCUCUGCUGCUAACUAGCUGUGGGGCCUUGUACAAGUUACUUUAUUUUCCUGACUCGGUCUGUAAAAUGGGUAUGAUAAUAGUACCUAUAUAUCAGGAUCCCAAUAAGAAAUAGGAACGAAUUAUAAAUGUGUAGAAGUGCUUUAGAAAACCACAAAAGAUAGUAACGUAUGCAGGUUUAUGGCAGCAGAUCUGUGACUUUCCUUAAGUCAAUAUCUAAGAGGGGAGAUAGAAAUUACAGGAACCCAGAGAAGAGAAGAGGUAUUUAGAAAAGGCUUCUUUGAGGCCAGGUGCAGUGGCUUAUGCCUGUAAUCCCAGCACUUUGGAGACCAAGAUGGGCAGAUUAUGAGGUUAGGAGUUCGAGACCAGCCUGGCCAAUAUGGUGAAACCCUAUCUCUACUAAAAAUAAAAAAAAUUAGUUGGGCAUCGUGGUGGGUGCCUGUAUUUGGGAGGCUGAGGCAGGAGAAUUGCUUGAACCUGGGAGGUGGAGGUUGCAGUGAGCCAAGAUCGCUUCAGCCUGGCAGCAGAGUGAGACUCUGUCUCAAAAAAAAAAAGAGAAAAGAAAAGAAAAGAUGUCUUUGAGAAAAGCCAUGGCUUCAUAGUCUAUCAGAAAUGACCUUACAGAGAGGGAAUCCGACCUUAUUUUACUUUCUUUCUCCAAAAUCCUGCUCUUCUGAAGCUCCCUGCUGGCCAAACCCAACAAGAAGCCAGAGGGCAUGGGAGCAGGUGAUACGAUCUGUACAGAGUGGCCUCCCAGGGUAGAGUGAGACAAACGGAAAAGUGUGAAAAUGGCUGUGGAGCGCAAGUGGAAGACAUCCAGCACUAACCAACUCACAGCCUUGCUGAGCUGAUUAAAUAAUGUAAUGACGUUAAAGGCUUAGCACAUUUCCUGUCACCAGGUAUUUCAUGAAAGUUAGCUAUGACCAUUAGCAUUGCUGUUUGCUGGAUCUAAGUGAGUUGCCAAUGUUUUAGGGUUAAGGACAUGAAGCAGGACCUAACUGGAACAACCGAGGGCCAUACAUGUGGCCCCCACACAAGCCCAGGUAAUGACAAGUUUGUGCUGCUUUUGGUACCAAAAGAAAAUUAGGUUUGUGGCCGGGUGUGGUGGCUCAUGCCUGUAAUCCCAGGCACUCUGGGAGGCUGAGGUGGGUGGAUUGUUUGAGCUCAGCAGUUUGAGACCAGUCUGGCAACAUGGCAAAACCCUGUCUCUAAAAAAAAAAAAAAAGAAAAAAACUUAGCUGGACGUGGUGGCGCACAUCUGAAGUCCCAUCUACUCAGGGGCUGAGGCUGGAGGAUCACUUGAGCCUCAGGAGGUCGAGGCUGCAGUGAGCUGUGAUUGGGCCACUGCAGUCCAGCCUGGGCAACAGAGUGAGACCCUGUCCCAAAAAAUAAGGAAAGAAAGAAAAUUAGGUUUGUUUCUCCUCUCCUGAAAAAUGCUCAAAUAUUUCUUCCACUCCUUCCCACGUCUUUCACCUGUACUGUUUCUUCUUGCCUGUUCUGUUAGCUUAUGAACAUGCUGUCAUGAAGAAAAUGUCUUUGUAGCUACUACUCACCAAUGUAAGGGUUCUCAAAAGAGUAAGUGCUCUUCAGGUUAUUGGAGGGACAGGAAAGGGAGCCUCAAAGUGCCAAGAUGCGGGUAUGUGUGGGAUGUAGACAUGAGCCAUCAGCACCAUGGGCGCUGAUAUUUUAGAAACAGAUCCACUCUUGACCUUGGUAUUAACAGACUUUCCAAUGGCUAUCUUUCUGCCCUUUACUUUCUGUAUGACCAUGAACAAGUCAUAUUACCUGGAUUUCUGUAAAUUCUCAGCCUCACUCCACAAGACUAUUCCACAGAUUAAAAAUGACAUGAAACACGUGAGUCUUUUUACAUGAAGAAGAUAGUAGCCUGCCUUCCUGCUGCCUGUAUCUGUUGUCUGGGCUGGGAGGCUGUCUGGACUGCCACUGGGGGAAAACAAGAGGUCAGGAGAGAAGAAUGGGAGGAAGAGAGAUGUUUCAGAUAGAUAAUCCCAUGGUCCUCAAGGCAAGGGUCGGAAGAAACUGGCUGGAGAAGAGAGGGCGGGGAACAUCCUGAGUUGAAAGCCUUCAGUGGGAGGCAGCAUGAGAAAGGAGACAAGCAUAGCCUUUGGUGCCAUUAGUCCAGAUGGGGUUGCCACCCAGUCCCACCUCUUAUUGAUAUGAACUUGGAUGAGCUGGGUCAUCUCUUUGAUCUUCAGUUUCCUUGUUUGUUAAGAUAAGAAAAAAAAAACGACAUAUGCAAAAGGCUAGUGGAUGUUCAAUAAAUGGCUCUUCCUCUUGAAAUCCCUUUUAUUUUAUUUUACUUUCUUUUAAAAGCAUCCAUUAAUGCACCCAUAACAGGGAGCCACAGAUUCUCUGAUUAAUUAAAUCAACACCAACAGAAAAUAGAAGUAGGUCCCAAUUCUUCCACACUCAAGUGCUAUGGUGAAGCACAUCUCUGAAAUGUCCUCUGGGUUCCCCGCUCCAGACAUGGUACCUGCUGAUCCUCUCUCUGUAAAGCUGCCUUCUCACCUGUCUGUCCAUUGCCAUCAGAUCUUCCCUCUCAUUUCUCCUUUGUCUGUCCUUCUGUAGAGCUGUGUUCAUAUCUCAGUUAAAGAGCUCAUCACACUGUGAUGUUGUGAUCUGCCCACAGGUUCCCAGUUAUGCUGAGCACUCUGUGCAGGCAGCAUCUGAGCAAACACAUGUAUAGACCUUCCAGAUCCCAGACACUGUGUCACCAUGCUUCCUCUACGUGCCAUCUCAUUGAAUCCUCACAUGUGUACUGUUAACUUCACUUUAAGAAUAUGGAAACUGAGGCAUCGAAAGUUUUAGCUUUUAGGCUGGGCAACAUGGUGAAAUCUCAUCUUUACAAAAAAUAGAAAAAUUAGCUGGACAUGGUGGCGCAUGCCUAUAGUUCCAGCUACUUGUGAGGCUGAGGUCAGAGAAUCACUUGAGCCUGGGAGGCAGAGGUUGCCGUGAGCCGAGAUUGCACCACUGCACUUCAGGCUGGGCAACAGAGCAAGACCUUGUCUCAGAAAGAAGAAGAAAAUGUUUAAGCUUUUUACCUAAGGUCUCAAAGGUGCAGUGCAUGUAGCAGAGCCAGGAUUCGUACUUGGUCUGCCUCAAGAGUCUGCAUUUGUUUUCCCUUCACAAUAGUCCUGUUGGUAUUAGCUCCAAGUGCAGUACCUGCCUCAUAGUAUGUCUUCAAGAAAUGCUUAUUGGAUUAGCUGAAAUAAACACCCAAAGCUGUACUUAGAAACUUUUAGCUUUAUGAACUAUAUAUUCUCAUUUGAAGAAAAUGACACUUUAACAAAUUCGAUGAGGUAUAAAAGAAAGCCAGGCUUAACACUUAGUCAUCGUGCUGUUAUAUAUAAGACAAUUUAUGUAGGAUCCUUUUUACAUACAGAAAAUUACUUAACCACAGAUAGCACACACACUCACAUGCACACCACAUCACACGCUUGCUGAUGUUCCUUUUCCUAGGAAGAGAGGUAGAAAUAAACUGGGAUCAUUGGGGAGUAAGAUGCCAGCACAUCUCCUUGCUGAUGUAGGGAAAUUCCAGUAACUCACAUUUAGAAUGUUGCCUUGGGUGGGAAGCAGCUGAGGGCUGCACAGAGGAGUGAGAUAAAUGUUACCAGCAUUGGACUUGACUGCAGUUUAACCCAAGGUCACUGGGAGGCCAGAGCAGAAUCAGGGAAGGAAUGUUGGCUCCUGGAGCCAGCUGAGCCUCUGGCUAGCUCCUGUCUUGGCCUUCCCAUGCAGCCGGGUUGUGAGCUGUGACGGUCCUUAGCAACCCUGCCCUAUUCCUCCUCACAGGAAAGGAACGAUCUUGCUGCCAGGCAGGCAGGCAAGCAACCCCAGUGUGACCCUCAUUCCUCCUUGCCUACACAACCCACCUCCCCACUCAUACAAAAGAAGCUUUCAGAACCUGGUUACCUAGAGUUGAACUUUUCAACAAGGCUUUUUGUAUUUUUUUUCCUUUAAGCUCCGCAGCUAAAAUACCAGAUCUCGCUGUUGCUAAGAUUAAGGAUUUUCCCCUCUGUUUUCUCCCUCAGCUCAGUUUCCGUUGACUAGGAAAGACCAAGAGAUGGAUUACCGUUCCCUUGCCAAAUGGAGAGAGGGUACUUGAGCAUCCGGGGCUUUCAGUGGGAUUAGACAUUAUUCAGUCUGGUGCUAAUAGUCCUUAUUUACUCCUCAGCCUCUCACAAAAGUCGCCGCGUUUGUUUCAGUAACUAAGGCCUACAGAAACCACUCAGCCCUAAGUGCACACAGGAGGACCAUGGAGUUGGAGGAAAAGGAAAGACCUGGAACCAACUCAAAUGCCCAUCGAUGGUAGACUGGACAGAGAAAAUGUGGGACAUAUACACCAUGGAAUACUAUGCAGCCAUAAAAAAUGAUGAGUUCAUGUCCUUUAUAUAGACAUGGAUGUACCUGGAAACCAUCAUUCUCAGCAAACUGACAUGAGAACAGAAAAUCAAACCCUGCAUGUUCUUACUCAUAGGUGGAGUCUUGCUCUGUCACCAGCCUGGAGUGCAGUGCCUCAAUCUCAGCUGACUGCAACCUUUGCUUCCUGGGUUCAAGCCAUUUUCCUGCUUCAGCCUCCUGGGUAGCUGGGAUUAUAGCCACCCACCACCACACUAGCCUAAUUUUUGUAUUUUCAGUAGAGAUGGUGUUUCACCAUGUUGCCCAGGAUGGUCUUCAUCUCCUGACCUCGUGAUCUGCCCAUCUUGGCCUCCCAAAGUGCUGGGAUUACAGGUGUGAGCCACCGUACCCAGCCUAUGAUGAUGAACUUUUUGAGCUCUGAGACUGAAUACAGGCCCUGUCACUUAUUAGCUGCAUGUCUUUGGAGGAUGUAUCUCAGUUUUCUAAUCUGUAAAAUGGAAAUUAUAACAUUUUGGGAAUUGAGGAAGAAUAAAUGUAAUAGUGCAUAUACAAUGCUUAGCAUAAUCAUUGUUACAGUGCUAAGCACUGUGUAUGGACUGUUACAUUAACUCUUCCUCAAUUCCCAUAUGAUGUAUGCAUUCAGUAAGCAUAAGCUAUCAUAUUCAGCUGAAAUCACUAUUGAAUUGUAGCAGGUAACAGUGCCCAUCUUUACAGGCAUAUAUAUGGAAAGCAAGGAAUGGACGAUGGAGUGAGUAAUUUGAGUGACUGAAGAAAUGGAUAAAUGGUGAACAGCUACCCAAGAAACUCAAUUUGCAUUUCUUUUUGUUUUUUAAGAGAGAUGGUCUUGCUGUCACUCAGGCUGGAGUGCAGUGAUGUGAUCAUGGCUCACUGCAGCCUCAACCUCCUGGGUUCAAGUGAUCCUCCCACCUCAGCCUCCCAAGUAGCUGGGACUACAGGAACACAUCUCAUGUCUGACUAAUUUUAAAAGUUUUUGUAGAGUUGGGGGUCUGACUAUGUUGUCUAGGCUGGUCUCUAAUUCCAGGGCUCAAAAAAUCCUCCCAUCUGGGCCUCCCAAAGUGCUGGGAUUGCAAGCAUGCAUUACUGUGCUGAGCCUCAAUUCAUAUUCCUUUAAAAAGUCACAGCUUUUAUAAUUUAAGCCUGUCAGUGCCUGUGGGAUAAAUCGCCAAAGGAGAGCAGGGCUUGCAGAACAUGCUUCUUGCUCUCCAGAGGUCAUGAUAAUAGAAAACUCGUGCUCAGAUGCAUCACCUGGUGACUCUGACGGGGACCACAUCUAGAAAUUUCCAGGCCAGGGAGACACUUAGGAUGGAUUCUUCCUCACUCUUCUCUUCUUUGUUUGCACUCGCUUUAUUCUCUUGCUGAGCUGCUCUCUGGCUAACUGGAAACUCACACUUUCCUUCUCUCCCGUGCUGCCACAGACACACUUGCCCUUGGCUGCACGAAAAGGAUAUGCUUGCUGAGCAGCAGGUAUAAAUUAACUACAUGAAAUAUAAUUAUUUCAUCCUGGCCGUGAUAGGAGGAGGGAGGAAUAGAAGGAAGGUUUGCUCUGCUGAGUUUAGACUCUGAGAACGUGAUCCAGAUAAGAACCACUGAAGUGACGCCUGUUUAAUAAAUAUUAAGAACUGGUAGGCCCUGGAGUCUGGGGAUUUCAGGACAUACAGCACAGUUCUGGAGCUUUGCAAAGUUUUCUUUUAAUGAAGCACGAAUUUCCCUCACUUAGAGGCUCUGGAUGCAUCUGUGGAAUGGAGGAAAUGUACAAAGCCUAGGGUCAGAAAGCCUGUGGUAGAAUCCUAGCUCCAAGUCCCAUCUUCCAGGUACAGCUGGGCAAGUCACCACUCCUCAUAAUACACUGAUAUGAUGACAUGCAGCAGACAGGGUUCCAUGAGAAAAUAAAGGUAAACAUCUAAAGAAUUCAAAAGUUGUCUCUCAGUGGAUCCUUUCCUCUCUUUGAGACUCAGCUUCCUCAAUGAUCAAAUAUUGGGGCUGUUCUGAAUGAAACUGUGCUCCAAGCAGGUGGCCAUUUCCAGAUACAGCAGGGAGAACUCAGGGCUGUUGAGGGGACCAGACUCUCCUCCUCCCAACAUUUACAAUGGAAGAAGCUGAGUCAGAUUUGAAUCAAUUCUGCAUAAUAGUCUUCCUGGUGAGAUGUAUUUUUCAGAUUUUGAUCUAAAGAAAUUAGAUCACUCCACUGGCUGAUGGCUUCAUUCCCAUUGAUUAUUAGCAUAUUCUACUACAGUUUCCAGGAUUCUUGUGAUUUAAUCAGGGAAGUAAACGAGAAGUUGGAUAGAAGACCAAGGCAGCCACACGGUAGCAUCAAGGCCGUGGAAGUUGAAACCAGAAGAUUUGAGUUUGAGGUUCGACCUUGCUACUGACCAGCCACAUUGCUCUUACUGGUUUCUUAACCUUUCGCUUUCAGUUUCUCCAGUGUCUAAUAUAAUCCCAGCUUCCCAUGAGUGCUCUGGGGAUCCUGAGAUGGAGGUUGAUAAAAAUGCCCAGCACAGUGCCUUGCACCUGGCUCACAGAGGAAGCAGGUGGGAUUUGCUGGGAUACCACACCUCUUGCUAGCUGUGUUAUUAAAUACCAAUUCCUGCUGGUCUGGAUAGUACAAUCUCAUAUUCAAAAGCAUUCAGAGAGAUGCUUGCAUGCGGGACAAAUGCAUAUAUCCCUGCUGUUGCUAUGCUGACUUAAUGCAAUACAUUAAAGUCUACUCCAACAGCAGUGCCUAUAAAAAAAGAGGAACAGGUUACCUCCUCUGGGCAUCAGAGAGAGGGAACUAAUGGCUUAUUUUUUCACCUGCUAUUCAGCUGGUUUUUGCAUUUGGUAUUUAGCCUCAGCUCUCUACAUGAUAUUUAUUACUGCAAUUAAGUUGGGGGCAGAAACAUUUAGAAUGGCUCUGGCUAAGAAGUCGCCUGAGCAUUGUCGUUUUUAUGUUGCAGGAACUGAGCACAAAUGUUGUGUCUUCCUGCUAAUCUUGGGUAGGGUAAGAUCUACCAUUUAGUUGGUAGGAAGAAGGCAAGUCUCUGUGAUGCUAACAUGAAUAUCUCCAAAAUAAGAUUUGAAGUCCUCACAAUGUCUUUUUUCUACUCAUUGUCCACUGAACACAAGAGUGAAAGAACUCUUCAUGAUAGUGUGAGCUAAUUGAUCUUUACUGAAGGCUUUCUAUGUGUUGGACACUCACUGUGUCUUCUUAAUCCACUUGCCAUUCCCAUGUGAUAGGAAACUGCAUUAUUCCUGCUUUAGGUGAGUCAGAGGCAUGCCAAAUGGUCUAAGAUUUUUGUUUAUGGCUUAAGGGGUUCGGUGAAGACUUUGGGUGUACUGACAAAGAGCUGAAUUUUGUAAGGUAAUGAAGAGUUGCUAUGUUGAGGAGAGUGAAGUAUCUUCAAGUGAAGUAGUUGCCCAUACUCUGUAGCCUUAACGAGCCAUACAGAUAAAAGGUAUCACCAAAUAAUGUAGUGUUUCAGGGAGAAAACAACAUGUUCUAUUAAAAGUCCUCAAGAUUCAGGAAUUGCUGGUGUCUUGUUCUAGCUCUAGACACAACCUGUUCAUUUGUUUUCAAUCCCAUCGCCUUCAUCUGCCCCAUAAAGAGAACACACCUGGCUCUCCUUCCUGUCAAGGUACGAUGUGCUGUGUGCAGCUGCUUACAUGACAUGAAAUAAAAAGUGUUAUGAAAAGCAGAAAGUGCCUGGGUGCAGUGGCUCAUGCCUGCAAUCCAAACACUUUGGGAGAUGGGGGCAGGAGGAAUGCUUGAGCCCAGGAGUUCGAGACCAGCCUGGGCAUUACACAGGGAGACUCCCAUCUCUACAAAAAAUAUUCAAAAAGUAGUCAGGUGUAGUGUCUUGUGCAGGUAGUUCUAGCCACUUGGGAAGCUGAACUAUGCAGAUCACUUAUGCCUGGGAGGUUGAGGGUGCAGUGAGCUGUGAUCAGUGAGUGAGCAGUGAGCCACAGAAUGAGGCCCUGUCUCAAAGAAAAAAAAAAGAGGACACAUUCAUCAGAUGCAGCCAAUAUUUCCUCAGUAGUUCUGGCUGUUCGCUGGCAUUAUAAACUUGGAUCCAUGAUUUCACCAUUCACAGAUCUGUAAACCAGGAGCCUCUUUGGUCUACAGAGUUCUACAAUCUUUAUGGCUUAGACAGUUGGGUGGAAGUUAUUUGCAGAAGCUAUUCAAAUACAUGUUAUGGGCAUUAUAAACCUGGAUGCAUGAUUUCACUAUUCACAGACCUGUGAAACAAGAGCCUCUUUGGUCUCCAGAGUUCUACAGUCUUUAUGGCUUAGACAGCUGGAUGGAAGCUAUUCACAGAAUAGUUCUGUCCAUUUGGUUCACAGGUUUUUGGUUAUAGCCUGCCAAAUUUCCCAGGAUUGCACUAAGUAUGUGCAUGGAUGAGGAGGUGUGUGGGAAGACGGAAAAAAUAGGGUAGCCUUUAAAAGAAAAAGGCAGUUGCUUCCCUGACACCACUGGCUCCUGGUUUCCCUCCUACUUUCCUCACCAUUCUUUCUCAGUCUCUCGCGCCUCUCUUCCUGCCCACACUUAAGACGUUGCAGCUCUAGGAAGACUUCAUUCUUAGAGCUUUUCUGUUCUUACUCUAAACUAUGGUAAUUCUUAUUUUGCAAGAGUAAAUCUCCACGGAGUACAAGAGAACAUUCCUUUUCCUCCAAUUGCCUUUCAUAUCUACUCUGUGAAGCUCAUUUUCCCCUGACCCUUGAAUGAAGUCCAAGGCCAUUCUCAAUUCCGAUCACUCUCUAGUAGUCAGUUGUCCUCUGGUCAUUUUUAGUCAUGAAAGUCUCAUGGGAAUAAUUAACAUGACCAGUAGUAAAAAUCAGAAUUACACAGACAAUUUGAAGUUAAAACUUUUGUAACAUUGGACUCUUUUGAACUUUGAUAGGGAUAGCCCCACAUUCAAGAGGCCAGAGGAGAGACCCAGAGCCAGCGACUGAGACAUGGGGUUGAAUGAGGGAAGCUACAUGCAAGUCAGACUAGUGGCGACUGGCUGGACAGGAGAACUCCAACCGCCUGUAAAAACCAUGCAAUUUACAUAACAUUUUCACUUAGCACCCUCCCCCUACCAACCUCCACAUUGCAAUCUUUAUUUCACCCAAAAUAAAGGGCCUCCAUCUGCUGUAUGGCCUGCAUUCCAUGGAGUGGGGCAGCAGUUCAGGAGUUCCUCAUACAUAGGGAAUGAAUCUCCAAGUUGGCCACUCCUAGAUUUCUUAGCUUGAAACUCUUGAACACACAUUAUUCUUAGACCACAGAGUCAUUCUCGGAGUAUGCUUAAGUUAUGUUAUUGCUGUUAGAUGCAUCUGCCAUACGCAGUCAGUUCUUAUGGAUGCUUCCAGUUAAACUAUUACUGUCAGGUGCAUCUGCAUUACACUUCUCCCUUCCCUUCAACGAGUUCCUCCUUCAGGGUGGAAGUCAACAUUAAGAAACAGUAAUCCUUGCUCUUCUCUCGUCAAAACCCACUCACUCCAAGCUUUGUGAUCAAGCUUUUCUCUCUCUGUCUCUCUCUUUCUUCAUCAGAGCUGUGAGAUAAGAGAUCAAAGAGAGAGGAAAAGUCUUACCUGUAUGGGAGGGACGGAUGCACACCUGGGGAUUGACAUUCUCUUCAUUUAAUCUAUGCUCGAUGUUGAUUUUCUGGUAUGGUGUGCCCAGGGUUCCUUGGAGGUUCUAUCCCUGGGAUUGUGCUGCCGCACUUCCAGCAGUAGCUUAGACAACAAAAGCUGGUACCUCUGGAGGACCAUGCACAGUUUCUAUCUGAGCUGUUAUGCUGGUUCCUCUUUCUGAUUGAUAUCGCAUCAUCCCUUUGGGUGGUCUUCUUAGGGAAGGUUCAAGACAGUUGUAGGGUGUGAUGUCCCUCUCCCAUGUAGCCCUCUUUUGAUCACUCAGGCAUUCUCCUUCUUACUCUUGAUGAAGUGUAGCUAACUCCCUAUCCAUAAUCUCUCUCUGCCCUGGUGCCUCAGACUGAUAAUGUAGAACCUGACCUAUGCAUUUCUGUGAUCUGUGUCAGACAUGAGUCCAAGGUGUCCAAAGUGCACCUAUUAAACUCUCCAGAUAAUUUAUUUGAAGCUUUUUUUACUCUUGAACUAGGAAGGGGUUUUCCCUUCUUUGUUUCCCUUUACUGGGAGGCACACACACACACAUGCCAGAACACUCUCCUAAGUAAGCCAGAACAACUUUCUCCCGAGGAAAUUCUCUCUGAGAUUUUCAACUUCAAUAUUCUUAUGCCAGAAAAGGGUAUUAGGUUAGAGAUUGAAAGCCAUCUUCUGAAAUUUUCUUUGCAAUUUCUGCCUAGGUGAUCUGUCACCUUGCUUUGCAAUGUGAAGUUAGUUGGCACCUUGUUUCUCAGGGUCUCAACUGAAAUGAGACAGAAUGAGUCCUAUUUUAAAACUGUACCAUAGUCUUGCUCCAUAAGCUUGUCCACUUCAAUGGCUUUUGGUGGCUAGGGUCAUGAAUACCCUAAAAUAUGUAAAAUCAACACUUCUUUAGAAGAAAAUUCAAGGACAGUUUAACCCAGGUCAAGGUACACCAAAGAUCUCAGAUGGGAAUAACUUUUGGAAAGAGUUAGCUGUUCAACAAGCUGCCCCAGAGGUACCCUGGCUGCUUUAGUGCUGGGGCACAGAAACCACUCAUACACUGAAUCCUCUUCAAGGACUGUCUUUUUUUUCUUGCAAUCCUAGUUUGUUAGGGCAUGGAACCAUUUUUGCAGACCAAUAAGGUCCAGUAUAGUAGCAGAGUUCUGCCUCUAUGAAUUGGCUAUGGUCAAGGACAAGAUUAAAUGAACACUAGAAUAUUAAGGAUUUACUCUGAUUUUAAUUGUGAUUUAAAAUUACAUGCAGUAUAUUCUUCCCUCUGUACCCCAUUAUUACCCUAACCAACAAAACAUUAACCAUACCUCUCUUUUAUGAACUCAGAUUCACAUAUUUUACUCCAUGAUGAAUAAUUUCAUCUAGAUAUUCCAAAGUAACUCAAACUAAAACAUAAUGAAAUGGAAAUUAUGAUUUUACUUUUUCCUAAAAUGUUUAUUAUAACCACGUCUUAUUUUUAAAAAUAGACCUCAUUUCCCACACGCCCAAAUCCUAAAUCCUAACUUUAAGAUUUUCAUGCUGCACAAUUCCAAUCAACCCGGCCUUCUAAUAUAUCGGGAGUCUGUCCCCUUUGGAUCCUCAUAACAGCUCAUUUUACACUCUCAUCAUUCCCCUUGGAAAAUGCAUCAGCAUCUUAACUGGCUUCACUGCAUUUAUUCUCACCCACCAUAACUCAUUUUUCUCGGAGCCAACACUUUAACCAUUUUAAAUCAUGUCUCCUUUACUUAAGAUUUUCAAAGCUAUUCAUUGCCUAGAUGAAUGGUCUAGAUAUAAAAGCUUUAUUUUUUUUUUAAUCCAAGGAUAGUUAAACCCAUGUGAAGGUACUCCAAAGAUCUCAGAUGGGAGUAGCUUUUGGAAAGAAGUAGCUGUUCAGCAAGCUGCCCCUGAGGUACCCUGGCUGCUUUAGUGCUGGGGCACAAAACUCACUCGUACACUGAAUCUUCUUCCUAGAGGCAGGGACGGUCUUUUUUUCUUAAAGUGAUGGUCUCUAAGAUAGAGAGUGGGCAUCCCAGGCAUGCAAAAGAUGAUUCUUAUGCAAUGUGAAAAGAAAACACUAUAGCUUUUAUUUGUAUAUUGUUUUUAUCCUUUAUGAAAAAAAUUAAUUAAGCUUUAUUUAUUCUAUGGCUUGACUUUGGGGAAGUCCUCACCUAGAAGAUGGGUUGAUCCCCAUGUCAGAAACAAAAAAUGGAAAUUCCACAAUAUGGUGGUCUUGACAGUGGUGACCUACUCCUUCCCUGAUUUUCAGCAUGCUACAGCUCAUUGUAGUUUAUGUGUUAAGUUAUGUAGUUCAUAUCCUCUUGUUAGAAAGACUUACAGAUUUUAUGAGUUGUUUUAAAUGAUGUAAGGCCAGGUGCAGUGGCUCAUGCCUGUAAUUCUAGCACUUUGGGAGGCUGAGGUGGGCAGAUCACCUGAGGUAAGGAGGUUGAGAUUGGCCUGGCCAACAUGGUGAAACCCUGUCUCUACUAAAAAUACAAAAUUUGGCUGGGCAUGGUGGCGUGCACCUGUAAUCCCAGCUACUCAAGAGUCUGAGGCAGGAGAAUUGCUUGAUUUGAACCCAGAGGUGGAAAUUGCAGUGAGCCAAGAUUGCACCACUGCACUCCAGUCUGGGCGGC
Molecule: long non-coding RNA, 13902 nt
Organism: Callithrix jacchus (white-tufted-ear marmoset)
Lineage: Eukaryota; Metazoa; Chordata; Mammalia; Primates; Cebidae
Source: RefSeq, a predicted model, not a curated record